Molecule: ribosomal RNA, 250 nt
Filed under: uncultured prokaryote
Description: partial 16S ribosomal RNA
Rfam family: Bacterial small subunit ribosomal RNA
Source: RNAcentral
UACGUAGGGAGCGAGCGUUAUCCGGAUUUAUUGGGUGUAAAGGGUGCGUAGGCUGUUUAUUAAGUCUGUGGUUUAAUCCCGAAGCUUAACUUCGGUUCGCCACAGAAACUGAUUUGCUUGAGUGUAGUAGAGGCAAGUGGAAUUUCUAGUGUAGCGGUUAAAUGCGUAGAUAUUAGAAGGAACACCAGUGGCGAAGGCGACUUGCUGGGCUAUUACUGACGCUGAGGCACGAAAGCGUGGGGAGCAAAUA